RNAcentral lists this ribosomal RNA (294 nucleotides) under uncultured bacterium. Its description in RNAcentral is "partial 16S ribosomal RNA". It matches the Rfam family "Bacterial small subunit ribosomal RNA", at positions 28 to 320 of the family's 1533-position model. The record is from RNAcentral.
GACAAACGCUGGCGGGGUGCGUGAGACAUGCAAGUCGAACGAGGUGCCAUCGGGCUUGCUCGAUGGCUACCUAGUGGCGGACGGCUGAGUAACGCGUAGGUGACCUACCCGGAAGUGGGGAAUAACUGCCCGAAAGGGUGGCUAAUACCGCAUACGGUCGACGAUUCGUUUCGUCGUCCAAAGGAGCAAUUCGCUUCCGGAGGGGCCUGCGUCCGAUUAGCUAGUGGUGGGGUAACGGCNCACCAGGCGACGAUCGGUAGCUGGUCUGAGAGGAUGAUCAGCCAGACUGGGACU